GAAAGGUUAUGCCCACCAGAAGAAAGGUUGGCGGCUGAUUAGGUUGUUGGCGGGGUAAUGGCCCACCAAGCCUAUGAUCAGUAGGGGCCUUGAGAGAGGGAGCCCCGAGAAGGACACUGAGAAACUGGUCCUAGUCCUACGGGGUGCAGCAGUUGCGAAACCUUUACAAUGUACGAAAGUGCGAUAAGGGAAUCCUUAGUGCUUUAGGUUUUUCCUAAGGCUUUUGGUAAAUUUAAAAAGUUUAUCGAAUAAGUGGGGGGCAAGACUGGUGCCAGCAGCCGCGGUAAUACCAGCGCCACGAGUGGUUAUCAUGUUUAUUGGGUCUAAAGCGUUCGUAGCCUGUUUAAUAAGUUUUUUGUGAAAUCUUUUGUUUCAAAUAAAAGGUAUGCAAAAAAUACUGUUAGACUAGGAACCGGGAGGAGUGAAAGGUAUUCUAUGGGGAGCGGUAAAAUGUUAUUAUCCAUGGAAGACUGCCUGUGGCGAAAGCGUUUCACUAGAACGGUUUUGACGGUGAGGAACGAAAGCUAGGGGAGCGAACCGGAUUAGAUACCCGAGUAGUCCUAGCCGUAAACGCUGUGGAUUAGGCGUCGCAUAUUCUUCGGGAAUAUGCGGUGUUGUAGCGAAGGCGUUAAAUCCACCACCUGGGGAGUACGGUCGCAAGAUUGGAACUUAAAGGAAUUGGCGGGGGAGCACACAAAGGGUGAGGCGUGCCGUUUAAUUCAAAUCCACGCGAGGAAUCUUACCAGAAGCGACGGCAGGAUGAAGGUCAACCUGAAGGGUUUACCUGACGAGCCGAGAGGUACUGCAUGGCCGCCGUCAGCUCGUGCCGUGAGGUGUCCUGUUAAGUCAGGUAACGAGCGAGACCCAUAUUUCUAAUUGCUAACAGCUUUUUAGGACUGAGCACUUUAGAAGGACUGCCUGGGAAACUAGGAGGAAGGUAUGGGCAACGGUAGGUCUGUAUGGUCCGAAUCCUCUGGGUUACACGCGCGCAACAAUGGUAAAGACAAUGGGAUGCGACCUCGAGAGAGGAAGCUAAUCCUCUAAACUUUAUCUUAGUUCAGAUUGAGGGUUGUAACUCACCCUCAUGACGUUGGAAUCCUUAGUAAUCGGAUUUUAUCAUGGUCCGGUGAAUAUGUCCCGGCUCCUUGCACACACCGCCCGUCAAACCAUUCGAGCGGGAUUUAGGUGAGGGUUAGUUAUAAUUAGCAAAAACCUAAGUUUCGUGAGACGGGUUAAGUCGACACAAGGUA
Molecule: ribosomal RNA, 1250 nt
Filed under: metagenome
Description: bacterial SSU rRNA
Rfam family: Archaeal small subunit ribosomal RNA
Source: RNAcentral